ACUAGAUAUAGCUCAAAACUUAAACACGAUAAAAUUACCCCCUAAAAAUAAAGUAAAACAUUCACUACAAUCAAAGUAUAGGCGAUAGAAAUUUUACUCGACGCUAUAGAAAUAGUACCGCAAGGGAAAUAUGAAAGAAAGCUCUAAGUAUGAAAUAGCAAAGCUUAACUCUUGUACCUUUUGCAUAAUGACUCAACUAGAAAAUAUUAGCAAAAAGAAUUAAAGUUAAAUAGCCCGAAACCAGACGAGCUACCUCCCCAGCAGCCUAUAGAGCAAACCCGUCCAUGUAGCAAAAUGGUGGGAUGACUGCGAGGUAGCGGCGACAAACCUAUCGAGCCUGGUGAUAGCUGGUUGUCCAGAGAGGAAUUUUAGUUCCAAUUUAAAUUUACCAAAAAAUAUAAUGAAUUAAAAUGUAAGCUUAAAUAAUAGUCUAAAAGGGUACAGCCUUUUAGACAAGGGAUACAACCCUCAUUAGAGAGUAAAUACAGAUUAAACCACAAUAGUUGACCUAAAAGCAGCCAUCAAAUAAGAAGACGUUCAAGCCCAACAGUACGUAAAAAUAAUCCCAACAAUUAUAUUAACACUCCUAAUAUAAAACUGGACUAUUCUAUUUAUAAAUAGAAGCAAUAAUGUUGAUAUGAGUAACAAGAAGCAUUUCUCCUAGCACACGUGUAUAUCAGAACGAAUAAAUCACUGAUAGUUACCAAAACAAGUAUAAUCAAUCAACUAAACCCCCACUAUCAAUUGUUAAUCCAACACAGGAGUGCAUUAAAGGAAAGAUUUAAAAAAGUAAAAGGAACUCGGCAAACACAAAUCCCGCCUGUUUACCAAAAACAUCACCUCUAGCAUAAAAAGUAUUAGAGGCACUGCCUGCCCAGUGACUUCAGUUCAACGGCCGCGGUAUCCUGACCGUGCAAAGGUAGCAUAAUCACUUGUUCCCUAAAUAGGGACUUGUAUGAAGGGCCCCACGAGGAUUUUACUGUCUCUUACUUUAAAUCAGUGAAAUUGACAUUCUCGUGAAGAGGCGAGAAUUAAAAAAUAAGACGAGAAGACCCUAUGGAGCUUUAAUUAACCAGCCUACAAAGUACAAUAUAACUCUAAAAGAGAUAACACACUUCAACUAGGCCGGCAAUUUAGGUUGGGGUGACCUCGGAAUAAAAAAUAACUCCCGAGAAGAUCUAUCGAGACUUACCAGUCAAAAUUAUCUUACCAAACAAUGAUCCGCCAACGGCGAACAACGAAACAAGUUACCCUAGGGAUAACAGCGCAAUCCUAUUUAAGAGUCCAUAUCGACAAUUAGGGUUUACGACCUCGAUGUUGGAUCAGGACAUCCCAAUGGUGCAGCCGCUAUUAAUGUGUUCGUUUGUUCAACGAUUAAAGUCCUACGUGAUCUGAGUUCAGACCGGAGUAAUCCAGGUCGGUUUCUAUCUAUUUAUAAGUCCCUCCCAGUACGAAAGGACAAGAGAGACAGGGCCCACUUAAAACUAAGCGCCCUAGUAAAACAGAUGAAUUAAUCUAAAUCUUACUUUGUCAAUCAUUAGCCCAAAAGAAGGGCCA
RNAcentral lists this ribosomal RNA (1557 nucleotides) under Ia io (Great evening bat). Its description in RNAcentral is "16S ribosomal RNA". It matches the Rfam family "Bacterial large subunit ribosomal RNA", at positions 359 to 2925 of the family's 2925-position model. Lineage: Eukaryota; Metazoa; Chordata; Mammalia; Chiroptera; Vespertilionidae. The record is from RNAcentral.